AUGGCGGCGCUUCGGUAUUCGGCGAGGAGGCUGGGUGGCUCCCUGCUCCAUCGAACGCAGGCCGCGGUCGAGGAGGAGGGACGCCGGCUCAUGCGCCCCCGCCAGAUCUCAACCGAGUUCUUCGGCGAGCAUGCUCGUGCACCCUCUGCACGCCAGGUACAGCAGAAGAAGGAGGAGCUGUAUGAGGCGGUGUCUAAGGCGGAACAGAAGAAGCAGGAGCUGCUCAAUUUGAUGGCUAAUGAGCAGCAUUUUUCUGCACAAUCCACUCAAGGACAAGCUGCCCCUCUGCCCUGGAAGGUGUACUCGAAAAGGGCUCGGGGUGUGCUAGAUGUAGCUUGCAAGGCGACAUUUUUCGUCUAUGCUGGUGCUUUUCUGCUCGGUAUCACUGGCACCGGCAGGAUGCUGGGGCUAACAAGCCAAGUCGCCAGUCAAGACGAGAUCGACGAUUGA
This 450-nucleotide ribosomal RNA is filed under the name Triticum aestivum (bread wheat). Its description in RNAcentral is "partial small subunit ribosomal RNA". The record is from RNAcentral. Lineage: Eukaryota; Viridiplantae; Streptophyta; Magnoliopsida; Poales; Poaceae.